CUGUAUUCUCUACAGGAUCUCAUGACAGAUUCAAAUCCAAUGUUGGUGGCUAAUGCUGUAGCAGCAUUAUCUGAAAUCAGUGAGUCUCACCCAAACAGUAACUUACUUGAUCUGAAUCCACAGAACAUUAAUAAGCUGCUGACAGCCCUGAAUGAGCACACUGAAUGGGGCCAGAUUUUCAUACUGGACUGCUCAUCUAAUUACAACCCUAAAGAUGACCUGGAGAUUCAGAGUGGGUAAUUCCCUGGCUGCCUCAUGCCAACUCAGCGGUGGUGCUUUCAGCGGUGAAAGUCCUAAUGAAAUUUCCAGAGUUGUUACCCAAGGACUCUGACUACUACAAUAUGCUGCUGAAGAAGCUAGCCCCUCCACCUGUCACUUUGCUCUCUGAAGAGCCAGAAGUUCAGUAUGUUGCCCUGAGGAACAUCAGCCUAGUUGUCUAGAAAAGGUCUGAAAUCUUGAAGCAGGAAAUCAAAGUCUUCUUUGUGAAGAAAAUGAUCCCAUCUAUGUUAAACUAGAGAAGUUGGACAUCAUGAUUCGUUUGGCAUCUCAAGCCAACAUUGCUCAGGUUCUGGCAGAACUGAAGGAAUAUGCCUCAGAGGUGGAUAUUGACUUUGUUUGCAAAGCUGUGAGGGCCAUUGGACGGUGUGCCAUCAAGGUGGAGCAAUCUGCAGAGCAUUAUGUAAGCACAUUGCUUGAUCUAAUCCAGACCAAAGUAAAUUAUGUGGUCCAAGAAGCAGUUGUCACCAGGGACAUCUUCCAGAAAUACCCCAAGUAUGAAAGUGUCAUUGUCACUCCAUGUGAGAACUUGGACGCGCUGGAUGAGCCAGAUGCUUGAGCGGCUAUGAUUUGGAUUGUGGGAGAAUAUGGUGAAAGAGUUGAGAAUGCAGAUGAGUUACUAGAGAGCUUCCUGGAAGGUUUUCAUGAUGAAAGCACUCACGUGCAGCUCACUCUGCUUACUGCCAUAGUGAAGCUGUUUCUCAAGAAACCAUCAGAAAUACAGGAGCUGGUCCAACACGUUUUGAGUUUGGCAACACAGGAUUCUGAUAAUCCUGACCUUCAAGACCGGGGCUAUAUUAAUUGGCGCCUUCUCUCAACUGACCCUGUUAUGACCAAAGAAGUAGUCUUGUCUGAGAAGCCACUGAUUUCUAAGGAAACAAGACCUUAUUGAACCAACUCUGCUGGAUGAGCUCAUCUGCCACAUUGGUUCUUUGGUCUCUGUGUAUCAUAAGCCUCUCAAUGCUUUUGUGGAAGGGAGUUAUGGAAUCCAUUGCAAACACUUGCCAGUCCAUCAUGGGACCACUGAUGCAGGUGACAGCCCUGUUGGCACCACCACUGCAACCAACCUGGAACAGCUUCGGGUUAUCCCUCUCAAGGCGAUCUUCUAGGAGAUCUUUUAAACCUUGACCUCAGUCCUCCAGUCAAUGGGCCACAGGUAUCCUCCAUGCAGAUGGGAGCAGUGGAUCUCUUGGGAGGAGGAUAGAUAGUCUGGUGGGACAGUCCUUUAACCCGUCGUCUGUGCCUGCAGUCUUUGCUCCUUCACCUACACCUGCUGUGGACAGUAGUGGUCUGAAUGACUGUUUGUACUCUCCCCAGGAAUAGGCAUGGCAUCUGGUGGAUAUGUGGCUCCUAAGGCUGUCUGGUUACCUGCAGUAAAGGCUAAAGGGUUGGAAAUUUCAGGAACACUUACUCACCGCCAAGGGCACAUCUAUACAGAAAUGAACUUCGCUAAUAAAGCUCUGCAGCACACGACAGAUUUUGCAAUCCAGUUUAACAAGAAUAGCUUUGGUGUCAUCCCCAGCACUCCUCUGGCCAUCUCUACACCACUGAUGCCAAACCAGAGCACUGAUGUCUCCUUGCCUGUCAACACUUUGGGCCCAGUCAUGAAGAUGGGCCUCUGAAUAACCUGCAGGUGGCUGUGAAAAACAAUAUUGAUGUCUUCGACUUUAGCUGCCUCAUCCCACUCAACGUGCUUUUCGUAGAAAAUGGCAAAAUGGAGUGUCAGGUCUUCCUCGCGACGUGGAAGGAUAGUCCCAGUGAAAAUAAACUUCAGCUCCAGAUGAAGGGAUGUCAUUUAAAUGCUGGCACUGUUUCCAGCAAGUUGCAGAAAAGUAAUGUUUAUGCUAUUGCCAAGAGGAAUGUGGAAGGACAGGACAUGCUAUACCAAUCCUUGAAGCUCACUGAUGGCAUUUGGAUUUUGGCAGAGUUACAUAUCCAGCCAGGAAACCCUAAUCAUAUGGUGUCACUGAAGUGCAGAGCUCCUGAAGUCUCUCAGUACAUCUGUCAGGUCUACAACAGCAUUUUGAAAAACUAAUAGACUGGUCCAUCACCCUGCAGUCACUCUGUGAUCGGUGCAAGCCAAGAACUCUUAACAGGAAGAAAUUGUAUUGCUGUGUAGAAUCUGAACCCAAGUACACUGAGGCCACCCACCAAGGUAUUGACUAGUCUAACCUGUGCUAACAUGAGAGCACAACCUAUUGGAUAGUUUUAGCUUCCCGUAAACAUUUGUAACCACUGCUUCAAUCACCUUCCACCUCUUGCCACCUGCUGCUGCUGUCAGUCCUUACUUAUAGGCUUCUCCAUGCUGUGCCAGUGACUGGCUUUUUUUACACCCUCUUUUAAGUGUAGUUUGAUAUUUUGAAAUCGAGAGCUCAUUUCAAAAGCAGAAAAAGACAACAAAUAUUAAAGCAAGGAAAAGUGUCACU
Carlito syrichta (Philippine tarsier) is the source of this 2702-nucleotide RNA transcript. It is a transcript of the gene named AP-2 complex subunit beta pseudogene, with no coding region annotated. The record is from RefSeq and is a predicted model, not a curated record. NCBI's taxonomy places the organism in Eukaryota, Metazoa, Chordata, Mammalia, Primates, Tarsiidae. The transcript has a single exon.